AGACACAGCAAGUACCAUGAGGGAAAGAUGAAAAGGACUUUGAAAAGAGAGUUAAAAGUGCCUGAACUCGCUGAAAGGAAAGCGGAUGGAACCAGUCGUGCUUGGCGAGAUUGUUGCGUGCAAAGGUGACUGCUCACUGCUCGUAGCGUAAGCGCAGCAGCGGGUUUCGAUCUGGUCGCGCGCGAUGCUUCUUGCCUUGUUCGUCAUCGUUGGUUUGGAGGCGCGGACAACUCUUGGGACAUGGUAACUCGCCCACGGGCGAGCGAAUGUGCCUUGCAGAACUCACCUCCAAACUGAUGUCUCUUGUUAGGUUCUGUUGCCGUACGCGGCACGUUCUUGACAAAGCGUGGUGACAGAAUGGUUCUAUUCGACCCGUCUUGAAACACGGACCAAAGGAGUCUAACAUAUGUACAGUAACGUUACGGUUGGGUCGGAACCGUAAACUAGUGGUCGCGAACUAAGUAAGGUAAAGGUAGGUAGGUCGUCGUAGGAAGUAGUCGUUCGUUCGACUACUACGACGACGACCGGACCCCGAAACCUAACUAACUUAAGGGUUAGGGGAAGGUUUA
This 569-nucleotide ribosomal RNA is filed under the name Gymnodiniaceae sp. ZH-2018a. RNAcentral's name for it is "partial large subunit ribosomal RNA". It matches the Rfam family "Eukaryotic large subunit ribosomal RNA", at positions 337 to 804 of the family's 3401-position model. The record is from RNAcentral. Lineage: Eukaryota; Dinophyceae; Gymnodiniales; Gymnodiniaceae.